GACUGUCUGCGGCAGCAUCCACUUGGCACUGGGCUCGACGAGAACAGCGAGCAUUCAAAUGCCACUUUCACCCACCUACGUUGAGGCUCUCAGAGUGACCGAUGAAAACAGCGCUGGCGCAGCACAGCUCAUUGAUCAGACGAUGAACAUCAGACAGCACAUCCGUUCUUGUGAACUCCUCUCUCGAGUUCGAAGUAUCGGCAUUGUGGAUGGUUCAGCAGGACAGCAGGUUCAGGACAGCCCAAUAGAUGCUGCCCAGGCAAGCGGCAGUGACCCUCCUUCUAGAGCGAAUAGAGAAAGGCCACAGUCUGAAUGGUCUUGCCGAGGCCCAUCUCAUCGGCUAGAAUGGUGUAGAUAGCCUGUCGAAGCUCUUCAGUGUGAGCGAUGAAAACAGCGCUGGCGCAGC
This is a long non-coding RNA of Drosophila guanche, 406 nucleotides long. RefSeq lists it as uncharacterized. Lineage: Eukaryota; Metazoa; Arthropoda; Insecta; Diptera; Drosophilidae. The record is from RefSeq and is a predicted model, not a curated record. The transcript has 3 exons.